Molecule: regulatory RNA element, 71 nt
Organism: Faecalibaculum rodentium
Lineage: Bacteria; Bacillati; Bacillota; Erysipelotrichia; Erysipelotrichales; Erysipelotrichaceae
Source: Rfam
UACUAACUGCAACCGCACAGAAAAGGUUGAAGCGGUCAUGCCGCACCUUGAUGGCGAGUAUCAGAAUGAAC